UACGUAUGGUGCAAGCGUUAUCCGGAUUUACUGGGUGUAAAGGGGGCGCAGACGGCGAUGCAAGCCAGGAGUGAAAGCCCGGGGCCCAACCCCGGGACUGCUCUGGAAACUGUACGGCUAGAGUACGGGAGGGGCAGGCGGAAUUCCUAGUGUAGCGGUGAAAUGCGUAGAUAUUAGGAGGAACACCAGUGGCGAAGGCGGCUUACUGGACUGUAACUGACGUUGAGGCUCGAAAGCGUGGGGAGCAAACAGG
RNAcentral lists this ribosomal RNA (253 nucleotides) under uncultured bacterium. RNAcentral's name for it is "partial 16S ribosomal RNA". It matches the Rfam family "Bacterial small subunit ribosomal RNA", at positions 524 to 776 of the family's 1533-position model. The record is from RNAcentral.